CAGUAGGGAAUCUUCCACAAUGGGCGAAAGCCUGAUGGAGCAACGCCGCGUGUGUGAUGAAGGGUUUCGGCUCGUAAACACUGUUGUAAGAGAAGAAUGACAUUGAGAGUAACUGUUCAAUGUGUGACGGUAUCUUACCAGAAAGGAACGGCUAAAUACGUGCCAG
This 166-nucleotide ribosomal RNA is filed under the name uncultured bacterium. RNAcentral's name for it is "partial 16S rRNA". It matches the Rfam family "Bacterial small subunit ribosomal RNA", at positions 352 to 511 of the family's 1533-position model. The record is from RNAcentral.